UUUAACUGAAGAGUUUGAUCAUGGCUCAGAUUGAACGCUGGCGGCAGGCUUAACACAUGCAAGUCGAGCGGGGGAAGGUAGCUUGCUACCGGACCUAGCGGCGGACGGGUGAGUAAUGCUUAGGAAUCUGCCUAUUAGUGGGGGACAACAUCUCGAAAGGGAUGCUAAUACCGCAUACGUCCUACGGGAGAAAGCAGGGGAUCUUC
Molecule: ribosomal RNA, 206 nt
Filed under: Acinetobacter baumannii
Lineage: Bacteria; Pseudomonadati; Pseudomonadota; Gammaproteobacteria; Moraxellales; Moraxellaceae
Description: partial 16S ribosomal RNA
Rfam family: Bacterial small subunit ribosomal RNA
Source: RNAcentral